Molecule: ribosomal RNA, 1569 nt
Filed under: human gut metagenome
Description: bacterial LSU rRNA
Rfam family: Bacterial large subunit ribosomal RNA
Source: RNAcentral
CCGGCGAGGGGAGUGAAAAAGAACCUGAAACCGUGUACGUACAAGCAGUGGGAGCCCCACCACUAAGCCAGUGGUGAGUCCACGUCAGCAUCCUUUGCCGAAGGUAAGGUUAACGGAGCGCAAGCGACGUUCAACCUCAAAAGAAGCAGAGGGGGCUUAGUGGUGGGGUGACUGCGUACCUUUUGUAUAAUGGGUCAGCGACUUAUAUUCUGUAGCAAGGUUAACCGAAUAGGGGAGCCGAAGGGAAACCGAGUCUUAACUGGGCGUUAAGUUGCAGGGUAUAGACCCGAAACCCGGUGAUCUAGCCAUGGGCAGGUUGAAGGUUGGGUAACACUAACUGGAGGACCGAACCGACUAAUGUUGAAAAAUUAGCGGAUGACCUGUGGCUGGGGGUGAAAGGCCAAUCAAACCGGGAGAUAGCUGGUUCUCCCCGAAAGCUAUUUAGGUAGCGCCUCGUGAACUCAUCUUCGGGGGUAGAGCACUGUUUCGGCUAGGGGGUCAUCCCGACUUACCAACCCGAUGCAAACUGCGAAUACCGAAGAAUGUUAUCACGGGAGACACACGGCGGGUGCUAACGUCCGUCGUGAAGAGGGAAACAACCCAGACCGCCAGCUAAGGUCCCAAAGUCAUGGUUAAGUGGGAAACGAUGUGGGAAGGCCCAGACAGCCAGGAUGUUGGCUUAGAAGCAGCCAUCAUUUAAAGAAAGCGUAAUAGCUCACUGGUCGAGUCGGCCUGCGCGGAAGAUGUAACGGGGCUAAACCAUGCACCGAAGCUGCGGCAGCGACGCUUAUGCGUUGUUGGGUAGGGGAGCGUUCUGUAAGCCGUCGAAGGUGUGCUGUGAGGCAUGCUGGAGGUAUCAGAAGUGCGAAUGCUGACAUAAGUAACGAUAAAGCGGGUGAAAAGCCCGCUCGCCGGAAGACCAAGGGUUCCUGUCCAACGUUAAUCGGGGCAGGGUGAGUCGACCCCUAAGGCGAGGCCGAAAGGCGUAGUCGAUGGGAAACAGGUUAAUAUUCCUGUACUUGGUGUUACUGCGAAGGGGGGACGGAGAAGGCUAUGUUAGCCGGGCGACGGUUGUCCCGGUUUAAGCAUGUAGGCGGAGGUUCCAGGUAAAUCCGGUACCUUUUAACGCUGAGGUGUGAUGACGAGGCACUACGGUGCUGAAGUAACAAAUGCCCUGCUUCCAGGAAAAGCCUCUAAGCAUCAGGUAACACGAAAUCGUACCCCAAACCGACACAGGUGGUCAGGUAGAGAAUACCAAGGCGCUUGAGAGAACUCGGGUGAAGGAACUAGGCAAAAUGGUGCCGUAACUUCGGGAGAAGGCACGCUGACAUGUAGGUGAAGCCCCUGCGGGUGGAGCUGAAGUCAGUCGAAGAUACCAGCUGGCUGCAACUGUUUAUUAAAAACACAGCACUGUGCAAACACGAAAGUGGACGUAUACGGUGUGACGCCUGCCCGGUGCCGGAAGGUUAAUUGAUGGGGUUAUCCUCAGGGAGAAGCUCUUGAUCGAAGCCCCGGUAAACGGCGGCCGUAACUAUAACGGUCCUAAGGUAGCGAAAUUCCUUGUCGGGU